RNAcentral lists this ribosomal RNA (440 nucleotides) under uncultured bacterium. RNAcentral's name for it is "partial 16S ribosomal RNA". It matches the Rfam family "Bacterial small subunit ribosomal RNA", at positions 338 to 795 of the family's 1533-position model. The record is from RNAcentral.
CCUACGGGAGGCUGCAGUGGGGAAUAUUGCACAAUGGGGGAAACCCUGAUGCAGCGACGCCGCGUGAGUGAAGAAGUAUUUCGGGAUGUAAAGCUCUAUCAGCAGGGAAGAAAAUGACGGUACCUGAUUAAGAAGCCCCGGCGAACUAAGUGCCAGCAGCCGCGGUAAUACGUAGGGGGCAAGCGUUAUCCGGAUUUACUGGGUGGAAAGGGAGCGUAGACGGCAGCACAAGUCUGGAGUGAAAUGCCGGGGCUGAACCCCGGAACUGCUUUGGAAAAUGUGCAGCUAGAGUGCAGGAGUGGUAAGUGGAAUUCCUAGUGUAGCGGUGAAAUGCGUAGAUAUUAGGAGGAACACCAGUGGCGAAGGCGGCUUACUGGACUGUAACUGACGUUGAGGCUCGAAAGCGUGGGGAGCAAACAGGAUUAGAUACCCUGGUAGUC